UCUUAUUCCUCUUGGAAGAAAUGGGUUCAUUAACAGUGUUGUGUGAACUCAGUUCCUCUCUCCUCAGCCUCAUAUUCCACUGUGGUUCUUUAGCCUUCUCAUCUGAGCUUUCCUGGUCCUCUGUCUUCGUCAUGAACUGCUUUAGCCUGCAACAUUCCAAAAGAAGAAUUUCAUUCAGUUUUACAUUGGGAAUCCAACUCCAGUCUCAAUUCUCCAGGAAGCCUUCCUGUAAUCUAGGUUUCAUUUCCUUUGUCUUUAGAUCUCAAAAGAGGAGGAAACCUCUGUUACAGAGAAUGAAGAAAAAAGAGUGAGAUAAAAGUAUUGAGAAAUCAUCAAAGAAGUCACAAUUAUUUGGAUAUUAAACUACAUGUUCAAUGCUAGCUAAUUUUUGAGGAAGGAAAUGUCUACCUAACAUAGAUGUCCUAUGAAUAUACAAGAUAAUGUGUGAUGCCAGUGUAAAAAACAGAAUGAAAGAAAGAAAAGAGAACAGAGAAGAGGAAGGGAAGGAAAGAAAGAAGGGAUUAAAAAAAGUAAAGAAAUACAUUCAAAAUAAAAACGGACAUUCCAAAUGAAUAAAGGAAAGAAACAAAUUUAAAGAAUAAAACUCCUGCAUUAUACCUAGAGAACUUGAUUGGUGAGAAGAAUGGGGAAAGCCUGUUAUCCUUCAGAUCACCACUGGAAUCAGAAUGACCAAUGUGUAUGUUUUUGAAGGAAACAAAGUAAAUGUUCAAUAAGUGGUGAAUGUAAGUGUACAUAUUAUUA
Long non-coding RNA from Peromyscus eremicus (cactus mouse), 762 nucleotides. RefSeq lists it as uncharacterized. The transcript is spliced from 4 exons. The record is from RefSeq and is a predicted model, not a curated record. NCBI's taxonomy places the organism in Eukaryota, Metazoa, Chordata, Mammalia, Rodentia, Cricetidae.